RNAcentral lists this long non-coding RNA (907 nucleotides) under Hordeum vulgare. RNAcentral describes it as "long non-coding RNA (HVUL_LNC004575)". The record is from RNAcentral. Lineage: Eukaryota; Viridiplantae; Streptophyta; Magnoliopsida; Poales; Poaceae.
GAUAAAGAGUGGCAAGAGCUCAAGCUUGGGGAUGCCCAAGGCACCCCAAGUUGAUUCAAGGAUGCCGUAAAAGCCUAAGCUUGGGGAUGCCCCGAGAAGGCAUCCCCUCUUUCGUCUUCAAUCCAUCGGUAACGUUACUUGGGGAUAUAUUUUUAUUCACCACAUGUUAUGUGUUUUGCUUGGAGCGUCUUGUAUCAUAGGAGUCUUUUAUUUUUGUUGUGUCACAAUCUUCCUUGCUGAACACCUAGAGAGAGAGACAUGCACUCACCAUGAUUUUGUCGAGCUUCACUUAUAUGCUUUGGUUAGAACAUUUCAGCUCACAUGUGCUUCACUUAUAUCUUUUGAGCUAGUUGAUUUUGCUCUGUGUGCUUCACUUAUAUCUUUUAGAGCACGGAAGCGCGUGGCUUGGUAGUUAAUCUAUGCUAUGAUAGUAGUCUCAAAAGAGGUAGUUAUCCAAAGGGAUAUGAAAACUUCCACCUUCAUGUGCAUUGAGUAGUUGGAGAAGUUUGAUUUAUCUCAAUUAGUUUUGAGUUGUGGUUGUGGUAAUAUUGAAGUUAUACUAGUAAGGUGUUGUGGAUCUAGAAAUACUUGUGUUGAAGUUAGUGAUUCCCGUAGCAUGCAUGUAUGGUGAACCGCUAUGUGAUGAAGUCUGAGCAUGAUUAGUCUAUUGAUUGUCAUCCUUUGUGUGGCGGUCGGGGUCGCGCGAUGGUUUAUACCUACCAACCCUUCCCCUAGGAGUAUGCGUUGAAUGCUUUGUUUCGAUUACUACUAAAACUUUUGCAACAAGCAUAUGAGUUCUUCAUGACUAAUGCUGGGUCCAUGGUUUAGAUGCACUUUCACCUUCCACCAUCACUAUCUUCUUUAGUGCCGUGCAACUUUCGCCGGUGCACAAAACCAACCAUAUAGC